Molecule: long non-coding RNA, 220 nt
Filed under: Setaria viridis
Lineage: Eukaryota; Viridiplantae; Streptophyta; Magnoliopsida; Poales; Poaceae
Description: long non-coding RNA (SVIR_LNC000947)
Source: RNAcentral
GGAGGGAGUAGCAAAUAAUUUAGGAAAUCACAGCACCAGUGAAAUCUCAAACAAAGAAGGCCGACAAAAUUUAAAACUGUUUAUGUCCAGUUAUUUCAUUAAGGAGGCAGUCAUAUGAACCUCAAUAAUCUAAAGAAAUGCCAUAUUUGUGGGCACAGCCGGGACAUGAUGCGUGAUCAUUAUCCGAAUCUAACCUAGCAGGCUGAGCAAGCAAAGCCGC